CCUACGGGUGGCAGCAGUGGGGAAUAUUGCACAAUGGAGGGAACUCUGAUGCAGCGACGCAGCGUGAGGGAAGAAGGAAUUCGUUAUGGAAAGCUCUAUCAGCAGGGAAGAAAGUGAAGGUACCUGAAAAAGAAGCUCCGGAUAAAUACGUGCCAGCAGCCGCGGUAAUACGUAUGGAGCAAGCGUUAUCCGGAUUUACUGGGUGUAAAGGGAGAGUAGGUGGCAGAGGAAGUCAGUAGUGAAAAUCUAAAGCUCAACUAUGAGAAUGCUUUAGAAACUGCUAAGCUAGAGUGCAGGUGAGGCAAGUGGAAUUCUUGGUGUAGCGGUGAAAUGCGUAGAUAUUAGGAGGAACACCAGUGGCGAAGGCGGCUUGCUGGACUGUAACUGACACUGAGGCUCGAAAGCGUGGGGAGCAAACAGGAUUAGAUACCCUUGUAGUC
This 440-nucleotide ribosomal RNA is filed under the name uncultured bacterium. RNAcentral's name for it is "partial 16S ribosomal RNA". It matches the Rfam family "Bacterial small subunit ribosomal RNA", at positions 338 to 795 of the family's 1533-position model. The record is from RNAcentral.